GGGAAACCCAGCAUGAGUUAUGUCAUGUUAUCGAUAUGUGAAUACAUAGCAUAUCAGAAGGCACACCCGGAGAACUGAAACAUCUUAGUACCCGGAGGAAGAGAAAGAAAAUUCGAUUCCCUUAGUAGCGGCGAGCGAAACGGGAAGAGCCCAAACCAACAAGCUUGCUUGUUGGGGUUGUAGGACACUCUAUACGGAGUUACAAAGGACGACAUUAGACGAAUCAUCUGGAAAGAUGAAUCAAAGAAGGUAAUAAUCCUGUAGUCGAAAAUGUUGUCUCUCUUGAGUGGAUCCUGAGUACGACGGAGCACGUGAAAUUCCGUCGGAAUCUGGGAGGACCAUCUCCUAAGGCUAAAUACUCUCUAGUGACCGAUAGUGAACCAGUACCGUGAGGGAAAGGUGAAAAGCACCCCGGAAGGGGAGUGAAAUAGAACCUGAAACCGUGUGCUUACAAGUAGUCAGAGCCCGUUAAUGGGUGAUGGCGUGCCUUUUGUAGAAUGAACCGGCGAGUUACGAUUUGAUGCAAGGUUAAGCAGUAAAUGUGGAGCCGUAGCGAAAGCGAGUCUGAAUAGGGCGUUUAGUAUUUGGUCGUAGACCCGAAACCAGGUGAUCUACCCUUGGUCAGGUUGAAGUUCAGGUAACACUGAAUGGAGGACCGAACCGACUUACGUUGAAAAGUGAGCGGAUGAACUGAGGGUAGCGGAGAAAUUCCAAUCGAACCUGGAGAUAGCUGGUUCUCUCCGAAAUAGCUUUAGGGCUAGCCUCAAGUGAUGAUUAUUGGAGGUAGAGCACUGUUUGGACGAGGGGCCCCUCUCGGGUUACCGAAUUCAGACAAACUCCGAAUGCCAAUUAAUUUAACUUGGGAGUCAGAACAUGGGUGAUAAGGUCCGUGUUCGAAAGGGAAACAGCCCAGACCACCAGCUAAGGUCCCAAAAUAUAUGUUAAGUGGAAAAGGAUGUGGCGUUGCCCAGACAACUAGGAUGUUGGCUUAGAAGCAGCCAUCAUUUAAAGAGUGCGUAAUAGCUCACUAGUCGAGUGACACUGCGCCGAAAAUGUACCGGGGCUAAACAUAUUACCGAAGCUGUGGAUUGUCCUUUGGACAAUGGUAGGAGAGCGUUCUAAGGGCGUUGAAGCAUGAUCGUAAGGACAUGUGGAGCGCUUAGAAGUGAGAAUGCCGGUGUGAGUAGCGAAAGACGGGUGAGAAUCCCGUCCACCGAUUGACUAAGGUUUCCAGAGGAAGGCUCGUCCGCUCUGGGUUAGUCGGGUCCUAAGCUGAGGCCGACAGGCGUAGGCGAUGGAUAACAGGUUGAUAUUCCUGUACCACCUAUAAUCGUUUUA
RNAcentral lists this ribosomal RNA (1338 nucleotides) under Staphylococcus aureus. RNAcentral describes it as "partial 23S ribosomal RNA". It matches the Rfam family "Bacterial large subunit ribosomal RNA", at positions 121 to 1461 of the family's 2925-position model. The record is from RNAcentral. Lineage: Bacteria; Bacillati; Bacillota; Bacilli; Caryophanales; Staphylococcaceae.